GGCUGCUCUGAGUGCAGCAGUGUUUACAACUCUUUGAUCACAACCAGUUACAGAUUUUGUUGGUUCCUUCUCCAUUCCCACUGCUUCACCUGACUAGCCUUAA
This is a Y RNA of Pongo abelii (Sumatran orangutan), 103 nucleotides long. It matches the Rfam family "Y RNA". From Rfam's summary of the family: Y RNAs are components of the Ro ribonucleoprotein particle (Ro RNP), in association with Ro60 and La proteins. The Y RNAs and Ro60 and La proteins are well conserved, but the function of the Ro RNP is not known. In humans the RNA component can be one of four small RNAs -- hY1, hY3, hY4 and hY5. The record is from Ensembl. NCBI's taxonomy places the organism in Eukaryota, Metazoa, Chordata, Mammalia, Primates, Hominidae.